Gossypium arboreum is the source of this 371-nucleotide long non-coding RNA. RefSeq lists it as uncharacterized. Lineage: Eukaryota; Viridiplantae; Streptophyta; Magnoliopsida; Malvales; Malvaceae. The record is from RefSeq and is a predicted model, not a curated record. The transcript is spliced from 2 exons.
AUUGUUUUUCAAACAAAAAGAAGCAGAAUGCUUCUUCUUCCCUGCUCCCUUUCCAUUUUUCUUUGCUAGGAAUUCAACCUAGCUUACGCCACCCUGGAGGAUCAUCGGUGCCACGCACCUCCACCCCACCGCCGGUUCACGGAUCAAGACCAGAUAUAGCUGCGAAAAUCUCGGAAUCGAGAGGCGUGGCGGAGUGGGACGCUGGUGAGAGGUGUGCGGCGCUAGGACUCAUGCAACAACUUUGAGUCUCUGUUCGUUUGGGCCUUGUUUGGGUCUAUUUUUGUGCCUAUUUUUCUUGUAUUGGAUCAUGGCAUGAAUUUGGUCCUACAAAUUACUUUCGUAAAGAGUAUACAAUAAGGAAUUUUCAAUUA